RNAcentral lists this transfer RNA (63 nucleotides) under Agriotes fuscicollis. RNAcentral's name for it is "tRNA-Phe". Lineage: Eukaryota; Metazoa; Arthropoda; Insecta; Coleoptera; Elateridae. The record is from RNAcentral.
ACUUUAAUAGCUUAUAAAGAGCAUAAUAUUGAAGAUAUUAAGGAAACCUUUGGUUUUAAAGUA